Molecule: non-coding RNA, 401 nt
Organism: Cariama cristata (Red-legged seriema)
Lineage: Eukaryota; Metazoa; Chordata; Aves; Cariamiformes; Cariamidae
Source: the annotation of a RefSeq genome assembly
GUUCCCUGGUCCAGGCAGCGCUGACUCAGCCGGCCUCGGUGUCAGCGAACCCGGGAGAAACCGUCCGGAUCACCUGCUCCGGGGGUAGCUACUAUUUUGGCUGGUUCCAGCAGAAGGUACCUGGUACUGCCCCUGUCACUGUGAUCCAUUAUAACAACAAGAGACCCUCGGACAUCCCUUCGCGAUUCUCCGGCUCCCAGUCCGGCUCCACGGGCACGUUAACCAUCACUGGGGUCCAAGCCGAGGACGAGGCCGUCUAUUACUGUGGUAGCGCAGACAGCAGCAGUUUUCCUGUUGUAGUGACACAGAGAGCUGUGGAAGGCUGUGACUAUGUCCCCAGCGAUGGGACCCUGGUGACGGAGAAACCCUGGCCAGGCUCGUCCCUGCUGCCCAAUAUCGAC